Molecule: long non-coding RNA, 3427 nt
Filed under: Daucus carota (carrot)
Lineage: Eukaryota; Viridiplantae; Streptophyta; Magnoliopsida; Apiales; Apiaceae
Description: long non-coding RNA (DCAR_LNC000557)
Source: RNAcentral
AAAGUGUCUAAACAGAGUUUAUUCCAUGACGGUAUGAUCGGCGGUUGUGAUGUCUUUUACCAUGCCCGCGGUGGCUUGUACCAAAUGUUACCGGGUCGAAUCCUCUAAGUCUCUCGGACUCAAGUGGAUCGAUUACACACUCAGAAGGUGGAACCUGGUAUCGAGUUGUAUCAUAACAAUAGGAGUACUGCAUGUAUUUUUUCCUCAGGUUCUGCAUUUUAGUUCUACUUUCUUUUGUUGUACCUGUAGGAACAGAUUGAGACUUGGGCGCAGUAUCACAUGAGGUCGACAUCUCGAUGGGAUCAACGGCACAANUGUGAAGGAAUGCUCUAUUCCUUGUCAUAUCUAUUUCCUACCAAAAUUUUAUAUCAUAUAAAUUUUGUAUUAAUUCUGUUUUUUCAAAAUCAUUUAUCCUCUACUCUAUUAGCUUCUUUUAUUUAUACUCAUUCUAUUCCAUUCACUUCAACCAAAUACAACAUAAAUUUUAUUAAAUAGGUGCAAUACCGUUGUAAGUCCUUGGAGUAGUGUUCACAGGAAAUUCAGGAAAUCGGUUUGAACUGGAAACGGGAUAAUAUCGAUUCUCAUAUCCUCAAUUAGAUUAAAAAUAUAUAAAAAGGACACAUUAUCAAACUUAUAUUAUACAACGUAGUAUACAUAUCCAUGUUGAGUGAAACAAAUAUCGAAUCUGCUACUAAACUAAAGAAUCUAAAUAAUCGGAUUGGGAAAGAUUAUAUUCAAAUAAAAUUUUGAGAAUAAAGUCAAGUAAUUUUGGGUGCCCCAAUAUUUUUCUCUAGACUUAAUCAUACUCCUUUCUAUUGGAAGUAAAAGAAAUAGAUCGGUUAACACGACAAGGAAAUCUUGUUAUAAAUAGGAUUAAUAAUAUUCUUAUCGAGUUCAAGUUUGUUUUGAUUGCUGAAUUAGCAUGUAAAUAUAAUCAUAAUACGCAUGUAAAAAAAACAGAAAAAGAGAGACGCAACUUUUCUUUUUUACAUCCUAAAAUAAGCCUAAUAAAAAAUAAAACUUAUUUUGGAAGAGUCAUGUAAUGAAAUUGAUUUAUUUUUUGAUUCUAUUAGUGUCAGAGUCUCAGAGAAGCUUUACCCCCUCAAAAAUCAAACUAAGAGCAAGUCCAAGAUGCCUCAUAUAAUGUCCUAAGUCAUUAUUUAGGGCAUUUGGCAAAAAAUUUCACUCCAACAAUGUCCUAGUGAUGCCUUAUAUCACUAGGACAAGCUCUUCAAGCCUUAUUUUUGAGGCACAUCUUUGCUUGCCCUAUCCUAGAUUAUAUAGUAAAAUAUUACUAACACUCUCUUUCUCUCUCUUCCUUAUAUUGUCUUUUAAUGAUGAAAGAAAACUUUUAAUAAUAAAAUAUUAAAUAUGUAAUGAGAAUAAGGCACAUUGUUGGAGUUGAAGUUACUUAAGUCCUAAAUCAUUAGGACAUAAUUUUUUAUAUUAUAUUUAAGGCCUCAACUAAGACACUCUUGGACUUGCUCCAAUGCCCCCACCAAUCACAUUUGCUCAGGAUUCCAAGUUGCCAUUUGACAAAAUGUUCCUCAGACCAGGACAAAUCUGAUUGCAUGAGACUAAUUUACAAAACCCAGCACACCUAAAAUUCUGGUGUUAAUGUCCAAAACAAACAUACUUGCAGAGUAACCAAAUAUGCUAACCCAACUAGCUAAUUUGUUGUCCUAAAAAUAGGAGUACAUUUUAAAAACUAGGGCCCUGUCCUGCUGACCCCAUAAGAAAGAUAGUUGAAAACAAAGAGGGUGUGUGCAUAUUUUCAUAAUUCAUCAAUCCAACCAGCCCAAAUACAACAAGAGUAACAGACAAUAUCAUGGCCACAAUCCUCAAGAUAUGCAAAAUAUACAUAACCCCCCUCGGCCCCUCCUCACCCCGAUCAAUUAAUCAAUACACGCUUUUCUGCUCUCUGUUUUUUAUCUAUAUACAUAAAAAAAGAUAUCGCAUGACUGUGGCAACCGUGAUCACUGGGCAAAAUGCAAUUUAAAGUGUCUAAACAGAGUUUAUUCCAUGACGGUAUGAUCGGCGGUUGUGAUGUCUUUUACCAUGCCCGCGGUGGCUUGUACCAAAUGUUACCGGGUCGAAUCCUCUAAGUCUCUCGGACUCAAGUGGAUCGAUUACACACUCAGAAGGUGGAACCUGGUAUCGAGUUGUAUCAUAACAAUAGGAGUACUGCAUGUAUUUUUUCCUCAGGUUCUGCAUUUUAGUUCUACUUUCUUUUGUUGUACCUGUAGGAACAGAUUGAGACUUGGGCGCAGUAUCACAUGAGGUCGACAUCUCGAUGGGAUCAACGGCACAACCGUGAAGCACGAAAUCGGAGAACUCGGCAAUGUAAGGGGAAUAUUUAUAAUUGACCUUGUAUUUACCUCCAUUUGUAGCCCAAUUAGAUCCAUCCCAAAUAGUAGCAUACAAGCUCAUUGGCUUGGAAGGGAAGUCCCCACCCAUUGCUUCUGUCUUCUUGACCUCUCUUAUAGGAACAUUGUCUAUGUAAAAGCUGUAAAGCAAGAUAAAAACAUCCAUAAACAAACAAGAAAAAACCAAUGCUCUUAUCAUGAAACAAAAACUCGAAAACUUGUGAUCAAUCCCUGUUCAAAAGUUUAAUUAUUGAACAAGGGUAAGAAACAAGGGCAAGUGGAGGUAAGUGACAAUACAUGAUUCAUGCAAAGGAAUCUCUCAGCUCAAUUUUCUUGCAGUUGCACAACAUGUCAUGAAAAAACAAAAAACCUACUAACAGUAACCUAAACAGAGAAAUCCAAUUACCAAAAAAAGAAAAGAAAAAAGAAUAAAUUAUCUGUGAAGACGCAUCGCAAUCCCUUACUCUCCGGGACAAGAUCAUAGGUUAAAAUCCCCAAUCCCCUCCCUUUGUCCUUAAAAAACUUAUGUAAUAUACUUAAAAAGCAAUUGUAAUGGCUUAAGCUCAUAUAAAUCUAUAGAAGUAACAUAUAAAAUUACAUACAUUAUUUCUUAAAUCAACUGACGCCAUUUUAAAAUAAUUUACAAAAUAAUAUUAAUUCAUGUUUCUAGAAUGUAAAAAUUUCAAAGAAUUCAUAAUUGAAAGGCUGAGUAGUAUAUCAACACUGUUUAGGUUCAUAACAAGGACAGCAAGCUUGAAUGCUACAAUAGAAAUUCUAAAUUUAUUUUUUCCCAAAAAUCUGCAAUAACAUAGCAAAACGAAUAAACAAUUCAAUAUACCCCACAAAUACUCUGCAGAUAUCAUUUUUUUACAUUCAAUAACUUUUUAGUGUGUGUGGGCAGAGAGAUUGGGAGUUAGCUCUAGACAUGUCCUAGCACCAGGAGCACCUUCACUUGUCAAAUGAUAAUUGCCAACAAAAUGAUAAAUGCAACAAAAUUAUAAAAAAGUUAAUAAAAACAGAAUCUGUAAAUAGAUUAUUCUCAGAAGGUUUCAGUUUCUUAC